This 465-nucleotide ribosomal RNA is filed under the name Vreelandella stevensii. Its description in RNAcentral is "partial 16S ribosomal RNA". It matches the Rfam family "Bacterial small subunit ribosomal RNA", at positions 338 to 795 of the family's 1533-position model. Lineage: Bacteria; Pseudomonadati; Pseudomonadota; Gammaproteobacteria; Oceanospirillales; Halomonadaceae. The record is from RNAcentral.
CCUACGGGGGGCAGCAGUGGGGAAUAUUGGACAAUGGGCGAAAGCCUGAUCCAGCCAUGCCGCGUGUGUGAAGAAGGCCUUCGGGUUGUAAAGCACUUUCAGUGGGGAAGAAAGCCUUGGGGCUAAUACCCUCGAGGAAGGACAUCACCCACAGAAGAAGCACCGGCUAACUCCGUGCCAGCAGCCGCGGGAAUACGGAGGGUGCGAGCGGUAAUCGGAAUUACUGGGCGUAAAGCGCGCGUAGGCGGUCUGAUAAGCCGGUUGUGAAAGCCCCGGGCUCAACCUGGGAACGGCAUCCGGAACUGUCAGGCUAGAGUGCAGGAGAGGAAGGUAGAAUUCCCGGUGUAGCGGUGAAAUGCGUAGAGAUCGGGAGGAAUACCAGUGGCGAAGGCGGCCUUCUGGACUGACACUGACGCUGAGGUGCGAAAGCGUGGGUAGCAAACAGGAUUAGAUACCCCGGUAGUC